AUUCCAGAUCUUCCACAACAAUUAUUAAACUGAUUUUCUUUCAAUGUUUUUUUGAUUAUUAUUUGAAGCAUUCAACGUCAACUAUUGUAGAGAAAAACCGUGUUUACUUCCUAGUUAUGUACUGGAUGAUGAGAAUCAGUAGACUGAAAAAUAUUUUUUACGUUAUCACUAUCACCGAACACAAUAUGUUAUUUUGAGCAUUGCAGUAUGUUCAAGGUAGAGUUUAGCAGGAACUUACAAAAAAGGCUUACAUUUUUAUUUGUAAAAACUUAUAUUUUUAUUUAUGCAUGCGAAACGAUUUUUUUAUUUUUAGCAAUCUGAUUGGCUGCAGCAGUGGUUAAAAAGAGAUACUUUUUUCGCAAUGUAUUUGUUUACGAAGUGGCGAAAUCAUUAGCAGAAGUAAACACAAACGCGGAAGGCAUUACCACGUUUCUGAUUGGUCAAUUACUUACUCUUCACUAGACGUUUCUGAUUCGUUGCGCUUUCUUCGUGGUCUCUUCGCCGUACUAGGAUCUGUCGAAAGAUUCGCCAGCUAAAUGGAAAAUAAAAAAACUUGUCAAGAGAAAGAGGGUUAAGGCAUAGAAUAAGGAAUAUGAAGAAUGGAGGCACCCAUAAUACUUUUUAUCCACGCUUAUCUUUUUACGUAUAUGUGAUUACAAUAACGACAGCAGUCAAUUGGUUGUUUCUGACCAAUAGCAAACGAUCAAAAGAACAAUCGAAGCCAGUAAAGUUAUUAAAUAUACAACACUGAGUUGCAGAACGUGGUUGCUUAUUCCUAAUUAUGCGGUUAGGGACAGUAAAUAAUAAGAAUCGGAGCAUAAAGCUGGGUUAAAGAAAGAAAAACAAAAAAAUAACGAGAAAAAGGACCAAGCAAGGAAAAAAAAUGGACGAAUAGAUUUCGCGGAAAUUCAUAAUAAUAAAUAAUAAUAUUAAUAAUAAAAGUAACGUUUCAUUAAAAGCUACUGGCCACACACAAGAGCCCUUUAACAAACCAAUCAGAUGUUUCAAAGCCGAUUUUCAAAUAGUGAAAGGCAUUCCUAUCAGAGGAAAUAGACAAAACAAAAAGCAUUUUUGCGCAUGCGUCAUACCUGAUGAAACAUAUUUCUUUUUCUAAUUAUGGCGUAGAUCAAAUGUGAAUUACCUAAAAACAGAUCAUCCAUUGUUAGAAAAAAAAUGCUUGUGUAGGAGUAAAUCAACAUUUUUAAUCAACUUUCUUCAUAAUUCCAAUAAAAUAAAGAUUAUUUCACAUGCAUUCAUUGUUUGAAUGAAAAAUGUUGCAAUUCUAAACUGUAUAUUUGAAGUCAAAUCCGACUCAUAUGCAGCGGAUAUUUAUCAAAGAUUUAAAACGCAAUUAAAACGCACAAUACAAUAUGUAUUAGAUAUAAUUUAAA
Long non-coding RNA from Xenia sp. Carnegie-2017, 1391 nucleotides. RefSeq lists it as uncharacterized. The record is from RefSeq and is a predicted model, not a curated record. Lineage: Eukaryota; Metazoa; Cnidaria; Anthozoa; Malacalcyonacea; Xeniidae. The transcript has 2 exons.